CACGGGGGGAGCAAGCGUUGUUCGGAAUCACUGGGCGUAAAGGGCGUGUAGGCGGUCGAGUAAGUGGGAUGUGAAAUGCCCCGGCUCACCCGGGGACCGGCAUCCCAUACUGCUUGGCUUGAGUACGGGAGAGGAUGUGGGAAUUCCUGGUGUAGCGGUGAAAUGCGUAGAUAUCAGGAGGAACACCGGUGGCGAAGGCGCACAUCUGGCCCGAUACUGACGCUGAGGCGCGAAAGCUAGGGGAGCAAACGGG
RNAcentral lists this ribosomal RNA (253 nucleotides) under uncultured bacterium. RNAcentral's name for it is "partial 16S ribosomal RNA". It matches the Rfam family "Bacterial small subunit ribosomal RNA", at positions 524 to 776 of the family's 1533-position model. The record is from RNAcentral.